RNAcentral lists this ribosomal RNA (229 nucleotides) under uncultured bacterium. RNAcentral describes it as "partial 16S ribosomal RNA". It matches the Rfam family "Bacterial small subunit ribosomal RNA", at positions 568 to 796 of the family's 1533-position model. The record is from RNAcentral.
UGCGCAGGUGGGCUUGUAGGUCAGUGGUGAAAUACUGCCGCUUAACGGUAGAACUGCCAUUGAUACUGCAAGUCUUGAGUAUGGUUGAGGUAGGCGGAAUGUGUUGUGUAGCGGUGAAAUGCAUAGAUAUGACACAGAACUCCAAUUGCGAAGGCAGCUUACUAAGCCAUUACUGACGCUGAGGCACGAAAGCGUGGGGAGCGAACAGGAUUAGAUACCCUGGUAGUCC